UACGUAGGGCGCAAGCGUUGUCCGGAAUUAUUGGGCGUAAAGAGCUCGUAGGUGGUCUGUCGCGUCUGGUGUGAAAUCCCGAGGCUCAACCUCGGGCUUGCAUCGGGUACGGGCAGACUAGAGUGCGGUAGGGGAGACUGGAAUUCCUGGUGUAGCGGUGGAAUGCGCAGAUAUCAGGAGGAACACCGAUGGCGAAGGCAGGUCUCUGGGCCGCAACUGACGCUGAGGAGCGAAAGCAUGGGGAGCGAACAGG
RNAcentral lists this ribosomal RNA (253 nucleotides) under uncultured bacterium. RNAcentral's name for it is "partial 16S ribosomal RNA". It matches the Rfam family "Bacterial small subunit ribosomal RNA", at positions 524 to 776 of the family's 1533-position model. The record is from RNAcentral.